GUGGAUUAGAUACCCUGGUAGUCCACACAGUAAACGAUGAAUACUCGCUGUUUGCGAUAUACAGUAAGCGGCCAAGCGAAAGCGUUAAGUAUUCCACCUGGGGAGUACGCCGGCAACGGUGAAACUCAAAGGAAUUGACGGGGGCCCGCACAAGCGGAGGAACAUGUGGUUUAAUUCGAUGAUACGCGAGGAACCUUACCCGGGCUUGAAUUGCUAAUGAAUAUAUAUGAAAGUAUAUAGCCGCAAGGCAUUAGUGAAGGUGCUGCACGGUUGUCGUCAGCU
This 282-nucleotide ribosomal RNA is filed under the name uncultured bacterium. RNAcentral's name for it is "partial 16S ribosomal RNA". It matches the Rfam family "Bacterial small subunit ribosomal RNA", at positions 773 to 1060 of the family's 1533-position model. The record is from RNAcentral.